This 390-nucleotide ribosomal RNA is filed under the name Escherichia coli. Its description in RNAcentral is "partial 23S ribosomal RNA". It matches the Rfam family "Bacterial large subunit ribosomal RNA", at positions 1352 to 1744 of the family's 2925-position model. Lineage: Bacteria; Pseudomonadati; Pseudomonadota; Gammaproteobacteria; Enterobacterales; Enterobacteriaceae. The record is from RNAcentral.
UUCCUGUCCAACGUUAAUCGGGGCAGGGUGAGUCGACCCCUAAGGCGAGGCCGAAAGGCGUAGUCGAUGGGAAACAGGUUAAUAUUCCUGUACUUGGUGUUACUGCGAAGGGGGGACGGAGAAGGCUAUGUUGGCCGGGCGACGGUUGUCCCGGUUUAAGCGUGUAGGCUGGUUUUCCAGGCAAAUCCGGAAAAUCAAGGCUGAGGCGUGAUGACGAGGCACUACGGUGCUGAAGCAACAAAUGCCCUGCUUCCAGGAAAAGCCUCUAAGCAUCAGGUAACAUCAAAUCGUACCCCAAACCGACACAGGUGGUCAGGUAGAGAAUACCAAGGCGCUUGAGAGAACUCGGGUGAAGGAACUAGGCAAAAUGGUGCCGUAACUUCGGGAGAA